GGGGUUGUAGCUCAGCAGUAGAGCACUCACUUCAUAUGUGCGAGUCCCUGGGUUCGAUCCUCAGCACCA
Molecule: transfer RNA, 69 nt
Filed under: Ictidomys tridecemlineatus (thirteen-lined ground squirrel)
Lineage: Eukaryota; Metazoa; Chordata; Mammalia; Rodentia; Sciuridae
Description: Spermophilus tridecemlineatus (thirteen-lined ground squirrel) tRNA
Rfam family: tRNA
About the family: Transfer RNA (tRNA) molecules are approximately 80 nucleotides in length. Their secondary structure includes four short double-helical elements and three loops (D, anti-codon, and T loops). Further hydrogen bonds mediate the characteristic L-shaped molecular structure. tRNAs have two regions of fundamental functional importance: the anti-codon, which is responsible for specific mRNA codon recognition, and the 3' end, to which the tRNAs corresponding amino acid is attached (by aminoacyl-tRNA synthetases). tRNAs cope with the degeneracy of the genetic code in two manners: having more than one tRNA (with a specific anti-codon) for a particular amino acid; and 'wobble' base-pairing, i.e. permitting non-standard base-pairing at the 3rd anti-codon position.
Source: Rfam by way of RNAcentral